UUGGUGUGGGCGCCGCGUCCAGCACAAGCGGGCGCUGGCCUUGGGCAUGAGAGGGGAUUCGUGAAGGUGGCCGCUGAUCCUUUUUAUGAUGAAGAAGAGAAAGGAGCGGGGUCGCUGCUGCAAAGGAGACGAACGUGUAGAGGUCGAUCAGUAGCCAGGCCACCUUGCCGGACCACCAUCCUCACUGGCCCAUGCCAAAUAAGGUGCUCAACUUCGUGGUGCUCAGUGGCCAGCUGAUGGUGGUGUACUACCGCCGGUGAGAACUAGGAACAGAAAGAGGAAAGAAAGAGAGAUGAAGUGGCAAGACUCCAUGAUCCCAGGUCAGGAUAAGAGAGAAGGGGCAAGUUCAGGUACACGUCUUUGCAGAUCCACAAUCUACAUUAGUCCAAAGCCUUUCGGGGUUUCAAAUAAUCUCCCUCUUUUGCGCAUGGUUAUUCAGGAUGAAAUAGUUAUUUGGAACUUCACUCCUUCUCGCCAAAAUAGAUAGCAUGGACACUUGAUCUCCACCGUGGAGCUUGGCGCAGCUCGACCUCUUGCCGCUGGAGAUGGAACUAAGACCUCUGUUGGCUUAUUCAGAUUGUAACUUUCGCCCAGUCCAGUUGCAGCCUUGGACCCUCUUGCAGGCCCGCCUUGCAGAUGGUCAGGAUUGCCUGCCGUUGGCGCUGUCCCUCUUAGCCACUGCCGAUUGGCCAGCAAGGUCUUGACGAACUACGGGAUAUAAGUUGCAAUAUGUGAUGCUGAAUGUGGUUCCGUGACCACUUCUUGGACCGUGCUCUUCAUGUCAAGCGCCCAACAGGAGGGAGAGGAGGAGCGCAUCUGCGCUCGAACUCGGCGACUUCCUUGAUGUUUUUUCUUGGCUCCAUGUGUUUCUACAAUAUGGGACACUCGUGGCGGAAUGUGGCAAGCUUGUGUAAACCUCAUGCUGGUAGAUAGGAAGACAAUUCAAAUUCUGGAACUACAAAGAUGCUAUUCAAGAAAUACGGGAAUACAAAGCAAUAGGAUGUGCUCAACUUUUCUCUGACUUAUUAUGUUUACAUUGAGUACUGUAAUGUGCUGCACCUGGACCUUGAUGGCCCCAAUGUUAUGUCCUAUUUUGUCCUCAAAGAUUGGCUGAUCGAAUGCCAACACCGAUUUUGCAAUUUACAUUGACCAUCGGUUGAGGAGUGGCCAACAAUGGGCACCAGAAGAUGCGCAAAGGUACACGAGGAGGGGCAAGGUGAAUUUAUGUAGUUUAGUUGUGCAUUAAGGUACUGCAAACACAUUUUGUGUCUACCUUCCAAUAUCUAUUUAUAUAUGUUGUAGUUUUUCAGGGCCCAUUUUUU
Molecule: non-coding RNA, 1322 nt
Organism: Lolium perenne
Lineage: Eukaryota; Viridiplantae; Streptophyta; Magnoliopsida; Poales; Poaceae
Source: RefSeq, a predicted model, not a curated record